CGGGGACGUUGGUGGGCAGAACGCGGUUGACGGCCAGGAAGUGCUCGACGAAACCCAACACCAAAGAGAGCAGCACCAGGUCCGGUUCCGACUGCCGCAGCUCCGCCUCGAACAGCCGAACCACCGCCGACACCGAACGCAGAGGGAACAGCGCCUUCUGCCACGGCUUCAGCCCCAUGGCGCCUCAGUGGGUCUCCACGGCCUUCGGCGGGGCGCGGCGGGACGCUGCAGGCCUCCCGUGGGCACCGCGGGCCGCGCUAGGCCGCGCUAGGCCUCAGUAGGCCGCGUCGGGCCCCGGUCGGACGCCGAGUUCCGCCGCACCUUCCCCCGGAGCUCAUCAGCUCUCCCCCGGCGUCGCCCGCAGCCCCCAACCGGGCCGGGGCGGGCCGGGCCGGUCCUCGCCGGGACCGCGGGCGGCGACGGGAGCGGCGUGAGG
Molecule: long non-coding RNA, 436 nt
Filed under: Gallus gallus (chicken)
Lineage: Eukaryota; Metazoa; Chordata; Aves; Galliformes; Phasianidae
Source: RNAcentral